GGCAGUCGUUGUGCAGGCACUUUGGUGACUCUAGAUAACCUUGGGCCGAUCGCACGUCCCUGUGAUGGCGACGAUGCAUUCGGAUGUCUGCCCUAUCAACUUUCGAUGUUACUUUCUGCACCUACCAUGGUGACCACGGGUAACGGGGAAUCAGGGUUCGAUUUCGGAGAGGGAGCCUGAGAAACGGCUACCAUAUCCAAGGAAAGCAAAAGGCGCGCAAAUUACCCACUCCCAACGCGGGGAGGUAGUGACAAAAAAUAACAAUACAGGACUCUUUCGAGGCCCUUUAAUUGGAAUGAGUACACUUUAAAUCCUUUAACGAGGAUCUAUUGGAGGGCAAGUCUGGUGCAGAGUGACUGACCCGUGCGUGCUGCAGCUGAAACUCCACUAUUGCC
This is a non-coding RNA of Pelobates cultripes (western spadefoot toad), 395 nucleotides long. NCBI's taxonomy places the organism in Eukaryota, Metazoa, Chordata, Amphibia, Anura, Pelobatidae. The record is from the annotation of a GenBank genome assembly.